Long non-coding RNA from Betta splendens (Siamese fighting fish), 3958 nucleotides. RefSeq lists it as uncharacterized. The transcript is spliced from 3 exons. The record is from RefSeq and is a predicted model, not a curated record. Lineage: Eukaryota; Metazoa; Chordata; Actinopteri; Anabantiformes; Osphronemidae.
AGUUAUGAUACCAAGUUUUGUUGCUAAUUUGGCAUUGAACAAAAUGGGCAUCAAACAAUUUGGGAGCUAAUUUGUCGCUAAAAAGCGGGUUGUGUUAAAAAAACUGACAAUUUAGUAGUUGAAAUGUAGAAAAGCAUUUAAAAUUGAUCGUCUAAAAAACAUUUGAACAUUGUUUUACAUUUUUAACAAAAGGUUAUAUUUUAACAGCGUUUUUUAAUAAAGACAUCUUUCCACAUUGUUUAAAAGCCUUUUAUUUUGAACCAAAGCAGACAGUUGUUGGAAAGCCACAGAUUACUUCUUUAGCUAAACCCUUUUUUUUUCAUCUGUUGUUGGUGGCUGGCAAAACUGAUCACCGAUCUGAAUCAGUGGACGACAAUACUGGAGAGAAGCCUGAAAUCGAAGCCAUCAUGGCCGCCAGCUCCGACUCCCUCCCGUUAGCGGAGAUUGAACGGGCUGUAACGGCGGGUGUGCGGGCUGAGGCUCCGCUUCAAACUGCUGUUCCGUCGUGAACACCAUUAAUGAGGAGUUAAGUAGGUUUCAAUGGAAUAUUUCUGUGGAGUAUUAGUUAGCUAACUUUACUAGCUAGCCGAAGUUACGUCCACGCUAUAAACGAAGGUUUCCAGGUCAGAUGUGGGCGGAGCUGUGCGCACUGUGUGAGGUGGUUUUACACUCGGCGAACGUUUAACAUUUAUAUUUAACAUUUUAAUUUAUGCUUUUGCACAUUUAAGUAAAUGCGAGAACACCAGUUACGGGUGCGCCCUUUAUAUUUAGCACCCCAUAUGGUAUUACCUACAAAACAAAAUAUUUUUUUAGCGUUAGAGUUGCCGCCAGUCAAUCGUGCACAAGCUAAUGCUACGCCUGUUACUAAUGUAAGCUAAUGCUACAUCCAACACUCCAACACACAAACUCCAACAGACAACAGGGGUCCGUUUCAAGAAGGAGGUUUAAGAAACUCUAAGUUUAAACCUGAACUCUGAGUUGACUUACACUGAGUUUGAAAACCUGGAGGUUUCGGUUUUAGAACAGCUGAGAAGAUUUGGUUUAAGCAACUCCGAGUUGAUUGACUCAGAAUUAAGCGCGUGCACCGCGACGACACAAAGCCCUGAUCUAUGGAGUGACGCUAUUACGAGUCACCAUGGCAACAGGACAACAAAAGAGGUCCGGAAAUGGAUAUGAUACUUCAAGCAAAUAGCGACUACGAGUCUAUAAUCCGUAGAAAAAGCAACACGGCCGCAGCGGCGAAAGAGAAAGAAUUAGCUUGGAAAAAAAUAGCUGCCCUAGUCAAUGCUUUCAAUUCUGCGGGCAUGAAAGGACGUGGCAGCAGCUAAAAAUGCCAUAUAGAAACAUGAUUCAAACAGGUAAGGCACGAUUAUAUCUAAAUAAAUAUUUGACAUAUUAAAUAACUAAAUAGCAUAGUAAAGCCGUGCAGCAGCAUUUUCAACAUGGGUGUAAUGUUUUCACACAGUUAAAUCAUUUGACUUCUACUCAGCCAACAGAAAGAAGGCAGAGGCUAGAACAACUGGUGGAGGACCUGCACCUCCACCACUGACGCAUGCAGAGUGCAUGAACUCAGCCUGAACACUGGAAAGCAGCGGCUGAAGGAAUUCCUAGAGGGAGUUCAUCAAAACCAGUCACUCCCCAGGAUACAAGUGCAUUUGUAAAAUAUCUCACACUUUUAAUGAAAGAUGAGAAGCAGAUUUACCUGGAGACCACCUUCAGAAGAUCUGGGUCCAGCCACAGGUAAAAACGUUCCCAGUGGGGAGCCAAUCAGUAAAUCCACGCAUUCAAACCCAACACGGUCCAAGCUACACGACAGACUGCCUGUUGUUUGCCAGUCCAACAGGGUAAUAGGUGAAGGCAUGGUGUGAGGAUCGGGGAUAAAACCAGUCAACGGUGACAUGAGGGGGAGGAGGGAACGCCAACAGGAAGUGGUGCAGUGUCAAAACCAAAGUGUUGUGUAAAUAUAGUUUAAUUUUAGUUAACUUCAGUCAAAAGAAAAGCAGCUUUUAAUGUAUUUACAGUAAAUUUAAACAGCAGCAGUUUGAUAGUAAAAGACACACAUUCAACUUUUGCCUACUCUCAUUCACAUGUUGAUCAGCAGCGUGGGACAGCGCACAGCUUAUGUGGCACAGGAGGAAUAGUGGAGCCCACAGCUGGUGUCAGAUCCAGUUCCUCCUCUGUGACUCCAGGUGGAGGAGUGAAGCGGAAGCGCUGCAGGAGGCAGGUGAAGAAGAGGAACAGCUCCAUCUUGGCGAGGCUCUCGUUGUUGACUUCAGGAGAGUUUUCACGCUCAGCAUGCUUUUUUGACUAUCAGCAACGUGACGGUGGAAACAGUGAGAAGCAUCAUGUGGUCUGACAGCAUCGCAGAAAACCUGGUCUGACAACAUCGCAUCACUGGCCAAGCGUUCACAGCAGCGCUCCCCAUCGUGCACACCUUUUACAGGACCCCCCCCUCCUCAAACAAUUCUUUUUUUAGCUGGGACUGCAAUGGAACAAAAUAGUCAAAUGGUCUGAGGGAGACAUUUCUUGUGCUGCGUCAACAGGCUGAUCUGGGUAACAGCAUCAAAUGACAUAACCCCCCCAGAGCCUUUGAAAGGGUUGGCAACCUGUGGGUGGGAUUUCGCAAUGAACAAACUUGUGGUCACUGGUGCAUGUUCCCGGCUGCUCGGAGCAGUGACCAUGUGUCCAAAUUGAGUAAACAGGUUGGAACGAUGUACCAACACACAGGGUAAACAGAUUGUGCUGUGCUCUCUCACCAACCUGAGAAACAAAUGUUGUGUGUGUGUGCCUGCGGGCUCAAUUUUCCACAGGGUUUGACUGAACAGGCACGUUAAACACAACGUGUAAAUCCCUCCUCUUUGGCAGCUACCUACUAAGCAGAGGGUAUGUGGAAGAACAGGACAUUCACCUGGCAGCUUCUCAGAAUUCAGGUGCAUCUAAUUUCAGACACGGGGACUGUGUUUUGUUUCCAACGCCUGUAAUCGUUUCAUCACAUGUGGCCAGUACAGAGUGAACUUUUUCUUUAAACUGGUUAAACCAGGUUUAUCCUCAGGAAUGGGGCCUGUGGGUGGCGUAAACACACGGCUGGGUGGACCUUGACUUGAUAUUUCCAGGCAAACAUUACCACCUUUCUUUUAUGAUUUUGUUUAUUAACUGAAACUCUGACAUUGAGAUGCAAUUACGGUUAAACAUUGUUUCAUGAAGAAAGAAUUAGACAAGAUGUGAAUGUUUGCUCCAUUUGCGUAGAGCCUCAUUUAUUAAAAAAGUGAUACAUAUACAGUUGACAGUCAGUUCCAUGGUACAGUACAUUACAGUUACUUUGAUGACAGCUCCCUUUUAUAAUAUGAUACAGUCUAGUUCUGCUAAGUCAGUCUUUCUUUAGUCCGUAGCACAAACGUGUCUUUUUUUGCUUAGACUCUUUACCCCAAAUCAUCAUUGAUUCAAGUCAUACAUGUAAGGAGAUGGUGUGCAAAUGUAACAACAGUGAGAUUAAAUCCACUAAAAAUCAAUAAGCAUUUUUAUAUAUGCAUGUCCUGGAAUGACAAACUGUAAAAAAAAAAAAAUCAGACGAAGAUGUAAAAAAACUAAGUUGAUUAAAACAAGUGUUCUUCUGCUUUUGUGUUUAACAAUACAUUCAUAUCACAUGUGUGAAGUCAUAGACGUACAUAUAUAGUAUUUGGACCAUCUUUGUAGUAAAAUAAUAAUUUCACUAGCCAUAGCAUUCUUGGGUCUUGAUGCAUUUCCCAACAUUCCUACAGUAAGGUUUGUCCACUGUACAAAAGCAAUCUCUGCUUGACUGUUACGCUUCGCUCCUGUAACACACUUUCAUAUAUUGUAAAUUAAUUCAGAAGCCACACACACACACACACACACACACACACACACACACACACACACACACACACACACACACACACACACACACACACACACACACACACACACACACACACACACA